This 6597-nucleotide long non-coding RNA is filed under the name Lathyrus oleraceus (garden pea). Its description in RNAcentral is "Pisum sativum (pea) long non-coding RNA (PSAT_LNC021909)". The record is from RNAcentral. Lineage: Eukaryota; Viridiplantae; Streptophyta; Magnoliopsida; Fabales; Fabaceae.
AACACAAAACCUUUUUUCUCCUUACCAAACAUGCAACAAUGUUUACUCUUCUUUCUUCUCCUAACUCUACUCUCAUUUGCAACAUCAACACCAUCAAGUUUCAUCAAAACCUCAUGUGCACCACACAAUACCCUACACUUUGUGUUUUUCAAUCUCUAUCUGUCUAUGCAUCACAAGUCCAACAAGAUCAACAGUUAGUCAAGCUUAUCUUAGUCUCAACAAAUCAAUCCACAAAAGGCUUUGUUACAAUGUGCAAAGCGUCAAAAAUCUUAAAACCAUCAGAAUGCUGCUCUUCAUGAUUGUGCUGAGAAAUCAAGUGAUAGUGUUGAUAGGCUUAGCCGUUCAUUGAAAGAGCUUCACUCUGCAAGAUCAACGGUCAGGAUUCAAUUGGCAUAUAAGCAAGUGGGACAUGGGUUAGCUCAGCUUUGACAGAUGAGAGCACUUGUGGGAUGGAUUUAGUGGAAAAGCACUUGAUGGAAAAAUCAAGCUUCUAUUAGAUCUAAGAAUGGUUAAUGUUGCUCAAGUUACUAGUAAAUGCUCUUUACUUACUUAUCAAUAUGCUGCUAAACACUAGUAAAGAUCAAACACUAGGAAUCAAAGGUUUGCUUUUAGGUGUGGAGAUGCCUUUAAUGUUGUUGGUUUUUUUUUGUUUUAAUUUAUGUGGUGUGUAAUGUGUAAUUAUAUCUAUAUUUAUAUAAUAUAAAGAGAGACAUAACUUUGUCAAGUGUGAAAUAAAUUUUCUAUUGAUUUAUUGAUUUUUUAUUUGCAAAAUUCUUUGGAUUGAUGUAUGAAAAUGUUCAAAAUUUAUCUUUCUAUCUCGGCCUCAACCCAAUAGGUGUCUGUAAGAUUUUUUUUUUGGAUUAUUUCAAAGUUUAGAACCAAAUAUACUUCUUGAUGGAUUUUGGCAAGUGAACCAAAAUUUGUCAAGUAGUAUAAUUUUAAAGAGAUUGUAUCUACAAGAAUGUUAUAAUUCACGGGACGAUAAUGAUUAUACUUGUUUAAAAAAAUGUAAUAAUUAGUAAUGAAAGGGUACAUAUUAUUGGAAUUCCUUAAUAAUUCAAAUGCUUCAUAGAAGCUUUAAAAAGCACUGCAUGAAAAUAGUUAUUGAUAUGGUUUUGGAAAAAAGCUGUUUUUUUAAUUCUUUUUUUCUGUUAAUUCUUGGCCUGUUUGUGGUAUCCAUUUUGUACCCUAUAAAUAGACAUUGUAGUAUAGUUGAGGUAUAAGCCAUAUAUUCAAUUCUCUCAAUCUUUCUCUAUUUCUCUAUCUCUCUUAUCUCACAUUAUCAUUUUCAUUGCUUCCCAAACACAACUGUCUAUGUCACCACUGCUUUUGGUUUUCGCAACAUUUGGUAUCAGAAGCUUGUUUUGAAUCCAAUUCCGUCUGCAAUCAUGUCCGGUCAAACGAUAAAAUACACUACCAAAUCGUGCCUCCUCGUGACUCGAAAAACUGACGACAAUGGCGAGACAAAUGAAGGGGUUUGUUCGCUAUCAACGUUCUUGGGAUGCAAAGAUGUGUGGGGUGACGGGUGGUUCGUCGAAGAGAGCAUCCGGAUGCUCAAAAGGCUACAUGAUAAAAGAGAAAAGAAGAAGGAUUUACAAACGUGUGUUUUGAUCCAUUCUUGUGUCGAUGCGUGAAAACUUUGAAAAAGUAGGCCAUUGCCGAUUCGCCAGCAAGCGAGGGAUUUGAGAAGGCUUAUGCAGGGGUACCAAGCCAAAUGUGUGAGGUUACUAAACUCACAGCGGACAGUCGAGUUAAUGCAAAAUCGGAGGACAAGGAGUCGAUAAAACGAUUAUGCUGACGCGUAUACGCGUGUAUGUGAAUCAAAUAAGUCGUGCGGGAGAAAACUACGGUUAGAGCGGAAUGUUUUGUGUCGAAGAUCUUGCCUUCUUUAACGCCAAGAUUCACGAACAUUGUCGUUCGCGCUUGAAGAAAUCGAGAGAUUUAUCUGCAUUGAUCGAAGGGAGGAGCUCAAAGCUCACUAGAAGCUCUAUGAAGCAAUGGAUAGAGGAAACGAUAAGCGAAGUCGGAAGUAGCUUGCUGCAAGCAGCGACUCAUGAAAGAGUAAGACGAUCAAAGGAAAAGGGCAUCGAGAGGGGUCCAAUUUCCAAAUUUGUGUGGUAAGAGUCACAAAAUUCCAAAGGCAAACGGUGAGGAAGCUCCAAGAGGGUGAUAAGGAACCCACAAAGCCAUUGACGAAGUACGUGAAGUGUGUACAAUCUGUCAAAGCUUGAAGGAUUUCGCAAAGUUUUGCCGCGACGAAGAGAAAUCGAAUGGGCUGAGGCGGAAAGCUUUGCUAAGGAAGAAGCGAAUAUGAUAUACGCUUUGUGAUGAAUCAGGAGAGAAAUCUCGAUGCCCAUGACGACAAAGCGGGGCCGGACGCGCGUUCCGGCGGCAGUGUGCAGACGAAUUCUGGCAGUAAGACGCGAGUUCAGGACGGAAACGCCAAUGGUAGCGUCUCGAGGAUGCAAUUCAAGAGUAGAACGAGUGGUAGUUGCGAUUCUGAGGUCUGGGAGCUCACUCAUACGGAGAAGAUUGUUUGUCCAAAUUCCAAUCGAGCAGCAAGAUUAAAGUGAGAUUGCGAUGAUACGGAUGUUAUCCCGAUGGCCGGGUUGGAAUGUCUGUGAUGCCGCUGAAAGAAGCUGAUGCGGUUCAAUUGAUCUAAGGAUGGUCUGUGACGAUUCGGAGGAUCGAAUGUAAUCUCUUGGCAGUGGCAACUGUUGGUACCCAGAGGCCAAUUUUGGUAUUGUAGUGAAUUAUUUUAUAUAGAAUGAGGCUUUAUUUUUAUUAACGUCCUUGUUUAGAUAGAUCCCCCGCGAGCUGUCGCGGCGCCGCGCCGCCGGCUAGCGAUUCAUAUAGGCUAGUCGUGCGCGGCCGCUUUAAUGCUAGUCAGUACAUUAAUCAUGAGAUGAGCAUAACCAUUAAGGACGACUAUUCUUAACGGUAGUCACGUAGAUCGAGCUGUCGGACUUAUUGUGCAAGUCCGGGCGGGGGAUGCCAUUAAACCAUUAAGACCUACAUAGCGUGGUAUAUAGCCUGGAUGAUGCACAUCUCAGUGGAUAUGGAUAGCGGAUGGAGUUAUCAAGUCUUAAAUAGGUGAUCUUAAGAUAUAUUCUAUAGCCGUAUGACGGGCGCUACUGGAUCUGAUAUAUAAGUUAUGCAGGUGUUCCGUAUCUAUCUUCCUCAUGGUAUACUGGUCGUUAUCAAUCUUCGACCGUGAACCCAGUCUUGGACCCUCGAUGUUCGGUGCUUAUAUUGUGAUUCCAACUGUUGUCGAAUGCUCAUAACCAUAAAGACAUGGCAUGGGUCUCCGGGUCGGCAAUGUUGACGGGCGCAUGAGUGGACCUAGAUGGAUCUUUGCCAUCCUACUACAAGGAUAAUGUUAUGGCCAAUGAUUGAAUGGAAGGAUAGCCGGCUCUAUGCUUUCUUCAAUCUGUACUAGAAUUCAAUCGGCAAAGCGAUACUAAUAAUGAUAACAGACAGAGACUUGUCAGAGUCUGAUUUUCGGUGUCGUUGGGUCGCGUUCAUGUGACUGUGCUGUACGGAUACGCUCACUUUAAUUAUGCUCGAUACGAUGAUUUCACCUGAUAUUUACGCAUGCGCGAUAACGCUAGCAGGUCACAAAAGGCGGGGGUUAUGGGAGAUGACGGAUAAUAGAGAACACGUAAGGUAGGGUGCCCUUAGUGAAUUGUGGUGAAUCGUCGUCUNGUCGACUUAUUUAACAUUAUAAAUGUAUAUGGAUAUGUAGGUCAACCUAUUUAACAUUUUUUAAAUAUAUAUAUAUAUAUAUAUAUAUAUAUAUAUCAUCCUAUUUAGACUAUUUUUAAUAUAUAUAAAAAUAUAGACGGGUUUAUAAGAUUUCAUAGACUUUUUUAAUAGCCUAAGCCUGACCUACUUAAUUAAAUAAUAUUUUUUAAUAGUCUAAUCCUGACCUAUUUAAUUAAAUAGGUUUUUACAAAAACCUAAGUCUGAAUUUUUUAUUAAAUAGGUUUAGGGUUUAGUCCUUUAUAGACUAAUCUGACCUAUUAUUAUCCCUAAUUACAAUCAACCAAAAUUUAGUGUAACCAAAUAAAUUAGAACCUACUCUAUUAUAAUGUGAAGAAACACAAUCAAGCGUAAGAGGAAAACGAUAUUUUAACGUUUGAUAGUUUAAAAAAAAAGUUUUGUUCCAAAUUACAUGUUACAUUUGAGUAUUUUACACGUAUUAAGAAAGUGUGAUAAAUAAAAGAGAGAAUAUCAAUUUUAUCAUUGGUGCAUUCUAAUGAUCAUAAAUGCCAAGUGAGAAUAACCGGAGAGUGAUAUAGAUAGUAUUAAUUGAAGGGUAACAUUGGAAGCAAAAAUUAAAUUUGUAUUGGAAACUAAAAGCAAACAUUUAUUUUGAAACAAAUAAUUUAUUAAAAUGCGAUAUUUAUUUUGGGACGGAGAGAGUAUCAUUUCUUAUGUAAAGAGAACUCGAUACCCUGGACUCUUUCUGAUUUUAAUUAUAUUGGAUUGUUGAUGGAGAGUAUGGGUUUUUGAGAUGAUAUAUCCUGGUUUUGGGGUGUUAGAUAGAGGAGAGAGCUUUUUGUUUUUGAGCGUGACCUAGUCGGUAACCCUGUCGCAACGAGCUAGAGUACAAACAUCUUCCAUGACGAUGACACGUAGUCAUGUAAUCCGGAUGAAAAUGAGGUGUAUUUGGUUAAAUAAACUUUUUAGCUUUGUUAAAUACUAGACUUCUCGUUGAUGAGUCUAAUAAUGAAGUUGAUUCUAUUAUGCCUCUUGUUGGAAGAAGUUGAUCCAUUCUAAAGUUAUUGUCUUCUCCUAAAAGCUUCUCCAAGAUCGAAUUCUGGCGAGGGAUAAUCUAUGUGGCUGUUGAAUUAUAAUAGGCUCUGGUGAAUUAAUGUGCACUUUUUGUCAAGGCUCUACAUAAUUUGUUAAUCAUAUUUUCAUUACUCAUCAGGUGACAUCUAACUUGUAAUAUAAUAUUUUUAGGUGUUUUGGGUGGACUUUUGUGUACCUAGAGAAAUAGUUUGUUAUUCGAGACUGUCAUAUCUUUAGAGAAGAAGUCUAGUGGUAGAGUUUGACCUACCUUAAUUUGACACUAUCAUGUGAACCUUAUGAAAAUUCCAAAAUGAACAUUUUUUUUCAAAUAAGACAUCAACAAUGGAGGAAUUGGAGAAUCAAAUUCUCUUCGCCUCUUAGAAUUGGUUUCUUACUAGAACUUCGAUUUAUUCUCGCAUGUUCUUUAAUUGGAUGGUGGAUCAUAUCUUCAGAAUCGAUAGAUGUUGAAGGAACCACUUUUCCAGCCUCAAGAGUAGUUUAUUGUUCAAAUGGUGAUUAUGGCCUUUGGUAUAUUUCCAAAACUUUUAUAACUAAAGGUCUUUGUAGUCUUUAUUAUAUAUGUAUACUUAGGAAUCGUUAACAUCAUCAUCAGUGUCAGAUUUAACUUACUUAAAUCUCUCAAUAACUCUUCGUAAAUGAUUAAUUAAAUUAAUCAAUCUUAUUAUUGAAUUAAUAGAUACUAUCAGAUAGAUUAAGUCUAUAAAAUUUUAUAAAAUUUAAAAAAAUCAUUUGAUAUUCAAUCACGUCAAUUAUAUUAUUUUAACAUAUAAUAAAUAUCAACUAUUAAAAUAUAUAAUAAUGGAUGUUUAAAUUGUUUGAUACUUUUAUACAUGAUCAUCAUAUAUAAUUUAAUGUUAAGAUUGAUUUAAUUCUUAAUUUAGAAAGAAUUAUAGAAAGUGUAUAUGUUAAGUUUGACCCAUGGUGUCAAUAGUGUAUUGAUUUUAUAUAUAUAUUGUUGGCUUGUCAAAUUCAAGUUUCUCCAUUUAUAUAAUUUACCCUUUAAUUUAUUUUACACGCUUUAUUUUAGAUUCUCUCUUAUUUUAUCUAAAUAGUGGACCCCACCAUGCAGAGUUAGGCACAUGAUAAUGAUAUAGUUGGGAACUAUUGACUCACAAGCCCAAACCCCAUCUAUAUCUCUAUAUAAUAUCUACAUUCUUAUUCUCACAAAUCACAACCAAACCUCAAAACAAAACCUCUUUUUUCUCUCUACCAAACAUGGCAACAAUGUUUACUCUUCUUUUCCUUCUCCUAACUCUACUCUCAUUUGCAACAUCAACACCAUCAAGUUUCAUCAAAACCUCAUGUAGCACCACACAAUACCCUACACUUUGUGUUCAAUCUCUAUCUGUCUAUGCAUCCACAAUCCAACAAGAUCCACACCAGUUAGUCCAAACAGCUUUAUCCCUUAGUCUCAACAAAACUCAAUCCACAAAAGGCUUUGUUACAAUGUGCAAAAGCUUCAAAAAUCUUAAACCAUCAGAAUAUGCUGCUCUUCAUGAUUGUGCUGAAGAAAUCAGUGAUAGUGUUGAUAGGCUUAGCCGUUCAUUGAAAGAGCUUAAACUCUGCAAGAUCAACGGUCAAAAAGCUUCAAAAAUCUUAAACCAUCAGAAUAUGCUGCUCUUCAUGAUUGUGCUGAAGAAAUCAGUGAUAGUGUUGAUAGGCUUAGCCGUUCAUUGAAAGAGCUUAAACUCUGCAAGAUCAACGGUCAGGAUUUCAAUUGGCAUAUAAGCAAUGUGGAGACAUGGGUUAGCUCAGCUUUGACAGAUGAGAGCACUUGUG